RNAcentral lists this ribosomal RNA (1477 nucleotides) under uncultured Bordetella sp. RNAcentral's name for it is "partial 16S-23S ribosomal RNA intergenic spacer". It matches the Rfam family "Bacterial small subunit ribosomal RNA". The record is from RNAcentral. Lineage: Bacteria; Pseudomonadati; Pseudomonadota; Betaproteobacteria; Burkholderiales; Alcaligenaceae.
AGUUCAGAAUUAUGGCUCCAGAUUGAACGCUAGCGGGAUGCCUUACACAUGCAAGUCGAACGGCAGCACGGACUUCGGUCUGGUGGCGAGUGGCGAACAGGUGAGUAAUGUAUCAGGUACGUGCCCAGUAGCGGGGGAUAACUACGCGAAAGCGCUAAUACCGCAUACGCCCUACGGGAAAAGCGGGGAUCACCGGGCCACUAUUGGAGCAACCGAUAUCGGAUUAGCUAGUUGGUGGGGUAACGGCUCACCAAGGCGACGAUCCGUAGCGGUUUUGAGGACGACCAGCCACUGGGACUGAGACACGGCCCAGACUCUGCAGAGGCAACAGUGGGAAUUUUGGACAAUGGGGAAACCUGAUCCAGCCAUCCCGCGUGUGCGAUGAAGGCCUUCCGGGUUGUAAAGCACUUUUGGCAGGAAAGAAACGUCGUAGGUUAAUACCCGCGAAACUGACAGUACCUGCAGAAUAAGCACCGGCUAACUACGUGCCAGCAUGCCCGUCGCUCGUAGGGUGCAAGCGUUAAUCGGAAUUACUGGGCGUAAAGCGUGCGCAGGCGGUUCGGAAAGAAAGAUGUGAAAUCCCAGGCUUAGCUUUGGAACUGCAUUUUUAACGCUACCGGGCUAGAGUGUGUCAGAGGGAGGUGGAAUUCCGCGUGUAGCAGUGAAAUGCGUAGAUAUGCGGAGGAACACCGUGGCGAAGGCAACCUCCUGGGAUAACACUGACGCUCAUGCACAGAAAGCGUGGGGGAGCAAACGAGUUAGAUACCCUGGUAGUCCACGCCCUAAACGAUGUCAACUAGCUGUUGGGGCCUUCGGGCCUUGGUAGCGCAAUAACGUGCAAAGUUGACCGCCUGGGGGAGUACGGUCGCAGUUAAAACUCAAAGGAAUUGACGGGGACCGCACAGCGGUGGAUGAUGUGGAUUAAUUCGAUGCAACGCGAAAAACCUUACCUACCCUUGACAUGUCUGGAAUGCCGAAGAGAUUUGGCAGUGCUCGCAAGAGAACCGGAACACAGGUGCUGCAUGGCUGUCGUCAGCUCGUGUCGUGAGAUGUUGGGUUAAGUCCCGCAACGAGCGCAACCCUUGUCAUUAGUUGCUACGAAAGGGCACUCUAAUGAGACUGCCGGUGACAAACCGGAGGAAGGUGGGGAUGACGUCAAGUCCUCAUGGCCCUUAUGGGUAGGGCUUCACGUCAUACAAUGGUCGGGACAGAGGGUCGCCAACCCGCGAGGGGAGCCAAUCAGAAACCCGAUCGUAGUCCGGAUCGCAGUCUGCAACUCGACUGCGUGAAGUCAAAUCGCUAGUAAUCGCGGAUCAACCAUAGCCGCGGUGAAUACGUUCCGAAGUCUUGUACACCGCCCGUCACACCAUGGGAGUGGGUUUUACCAAGUAGUUAGCCUAACCGCAAAGGCGAUUACCACGGUAGGAUUCAUGACUGGGGUGAAGUCGUAACAAGGUAGCCCUGUUGUUGAUGUUAG